This 74-nucleotide transfer RNA is filed under the name Ailuropoda melanoleuca (giant panda). It matches the Rfam family "tRNA". Rfam says of the family: Transfer RNA (tRNA) molecules are approximately 80 nucleotides in length. Their secondary structure includes four short double-helical elements and three loops (D, anti-codon, and T loops). Further hydrogen bonds mediate the characteristic L-shaped molecular structure. tRNAs have two regions of fundamental functional importance: the anti-codon, which is responsible for specific mRNA codon recognition, and the 3' end, to which the tRNAs corresponding amino acid is attached (by aminoacyl-tRNA synthetases). tRNAs cope with the degeneracy of the genetic code in two manners: having more than one tRNA (with a specific anti-codon) for a particular amino acid; and 'wobble' base-pairing, i.e. permitting non-standard base-pairing at the 3rd anti-codon position. The record is from Rfam by way of RNAcentral. Lineage: Eukaryota; Metazoa; Chordata; Mammalia; Carnivora; Ursidae.
GCCUGGCUGGCUCAGUCGGUAGAGCAUGUGACUCUUGAUCUCAGGGUCGUUGAGUUCAAGCCUCACACUGGGUG